CACGCUCUGCGGUGCUCUGUGACGCACGUCUAUUGUCUAUUGAUCGUCAGCGUUUAUAUUAGUUAUGGAACACCCAGCCUUUGAGGAGGCCGGUCAAGAGCCAGGCUUGGAAAUAUGGACUAUUGACAAAUUUGAGCCCGUGGCCAUAGAACGCAAAUUAUACGGAAAGUUUUACAAUGGUGACUCCUACAUUGUUCUAAAGACAACAGGAGACAACAGUUCCACACUCUCCUACGACGUCCACUUCUGGUUGGGUAGCAAGACAUCACAGGACAAGAAAGGAGCAGCUGCCAUUCUGACCAUAACCCUGGAUGAUCAGCUGGGAGGCAGAGCGGUACACCACAGGGAAGUCCAGGGGCAUGAGACUAGCCACUUCUUGGGUUACUUCCAACCUGCUAUCAGAUAUUUAGAAGGAGGCAACGAAUCAGGCUUCAACGAAGUAGAGACUAACGCUGGUGCAGAGAAGAGACUUCUGCAGCUUUCCGGUUGUGAAAAUAUGAGAAUCGAAGAAGUGCCAGCAGAUGCGUCCUCGCUCACCAAGGACCACUGCUUCAUCCUGGAGGUAGAGCACGACAUCUUCGUGCUCAUGCCCGACGGAGCACGCGCCACUCAGAGGCGGAAGAUCAUCAGCGUCGCCAACAGCCUGCGAGAUGAUUACCAUAACGGAAGGGCUACUAUUGAAAUUAUUGAUGAAUUCUCAUCAGACGAAGACUUCGAACAGUUCUUUGAAGCGCUCGGCUCUGGAUCAAAGGACGAUCUCGUUGACGAUGACUCCACUCAGAUGUACGCCCGUGAAAAUAUGUCCGCCGUGUACUUUUACAAAGUGCUGGUGGGCGACGAGAUAGAGCUGGUGCAAGUCAACAAACCGUUUAGACAGAGACAGCUGUCAUCUGAGGAUGUGUUCAUCCUGGACACGCCGUGCUCUGGAGUGUACGUGUGGCUCGGCAGGGACGUUGACCCCGAGGUCAAGCGAAGCUAUAACAGCAUCGCGCAGCAGUAUCUGGACGUCAAGGGCUAUCCUGGUUGGGUGCCAGUCACUCGCGUGUCUGACGGUGCGGAGACUAGCACUUUCAAGCAGUACUUCCACAGCUGGGACUCUGUGAAGCCCGUCACUGGGGGGUCUGUCAAAUCCAUCGCUUCACAAUUUGAAGCGGGACUAUUCUCCGAUGACUCUGAUGAUGGAGAGGCAUUCGCCAAGUUUGUGGGCAAGAGUGCUGCAGCCAGAAGCUACAUGCCUGAUGAAGGGGCGGGAGACCUCACCAUAUUUAGGGCAGCAGAAGAAGCCGAAGAUAUUACGGAGAGUCAGUCAGAGUCGCCCCGUCUGUACCAGGGCGAGGUGUACGUCACCAGAUACCAGUACAAGGAUGACAAUGACGAAGACGCCACCGUCGUGUACUUGUGGAUUGGUGAAAAAGCUGACGAUGCUAGCAAAGAGGCUGGUUUAAAACUCGUUGGUGAAAUCGAAGAGGAGUUGGAAGGCAAUGUCACUAUUGUGAAAAUACCACAAGGGAAGGAAACUAAACACUUUUUGAGUAUAUUCAAAGGAAAUCUCCUAAUUAUUUGCGGAAGCAAGGAAGAGGAAUACAAAGCUGAAAACUUUAACAAAUCUUACGAUGACACCGGCGUCCGAUUAUUCAAGGUGGAAGGAACUAAAGUAGGUGUAGACAUGCGUGCCACACAAGUGGAGGAAUCCGCUAACUCUUUAGAGGACGACGAUAUCUACAUACUGGAGACCCCGAGCGCUGUUUACAUGUGGAAUGGAAAGGAGUCUAGCGAACAAGAGCAGGAAGCUGCCAAGAACUUCGUCACAUCACUGGCUGGUGACAAAGAGGUCACAGAGAUUAACCAAGGAGAUGAAACGGACGAGUUCUGGGAAUUUUUGGGAGGAGCACCAGAGGAGAAAGAAGAGAGAUCUGGGUGGAAGCUGGCAGCUAACCGUCGAGUCACCACUCCUCUUACGUUGACUGCGGUGACUGUACGCGCUUCGGGGAAGAUCAGGUUCGAGGAACUGCCGCCAGGGUUUACUCAGAAGGAUCUGUCAGAUGACGGGGCAUACAUUUUGGACGGCGGGGAAGAACUCUACCUGUGGCUUGGCGCCGCCAUACCAGAACGAGUUAAAGCUGCGAGACUAAAGAUUAUUGAGGAAUACAUAGAAGACGACGGCCUGGACCGCUCGGUGGACUCUGCCAUCGUGGUGACACUGAAGCAAGGUCGGGAGCCCGCCAUCUUCAAGCAACUGUUCCCUGAAUGGGAAGAUGAUUUGUGGGAGAACCAAGCCUCUUACGAAGAUAUCAAGAAUGAGACCAAAGCUGCUAAUUCCAAGUAAAACAUCCAUAAUAAUAAACAUAAUUUAUAAUAGUACAUUAUGAUAUAAGUCCGGUAAGUUGAAAAUUACAGCUGAGGCGAUAUUGCAGCUCGAGCCGAAGGCGAGAGCUAUAAUAAGGAAGCAGAGGCUGUAAUAGGGAUGAUGACAGUUUUUUAAAUUGUAUAUAAAUUAAGAGUACGCUAAUAGUAAAACAAUUUUGUAAAAGUAACAGGGUAUCUGCGAUCAUUACUUUCGGAGCUACAGGGAUUUAAAGGGUCAGAUUUGCGGAUCCCUGAAAAACGCCCCAAAAUGGCACGAUUUGAUGACGUCGUUGGCUCGCUGAUCUAUGUAUGGGCGUUCAAACAAAAUUACUAAUAUCUUUGUUAUUUGUGCGUUUAUGUUUAUAGUUCAUUUAUUGAAAAAUGUCACAUUUAAUGUAAGGAAGCUAAAACUGUAUGAAUUUUCAUCUAAUUACGAUAAAAGAUUUUUAAUAGAUUUUGAAAUUUUAUAAUCUCAUUUAUUUUGCAAAUAUCCAGUUAAUCUUUGCUUUUUAUGUAUAAAUCAGUUAACAUUGACCUUAUUUACCCGAAUGUAUCAUAAAAAUCAAUAUAUUCAAACCUAGUCAUCAUCCCCAUUAGCGGGUUAGGUUCGAAUCUGGUCCGGAUCAUGCACCUCAACUUUUCAGUUG
Bicyclus anynana (squinting bush brown) is the source of this 2993-nucleotide RNA transcript. It is a transcript of the gene named gelsolin, with no coding region annotated. The transcript is spliced from 20 exons. The record is from RefSeq and is a predicted model, not a curated record. NCBI's taxonomy places the organism in Eukaryota, Metazoa, Arthropoda, Insecta, Lepidoptera, Nymphalidae.